UACAGAGGUGGCAAGCGUUGUUCGGAAUUACUGGGCGUAAAGGGCGCGUAGGCGGUCCGAUAAGUCCCGUGUGAAAUCCCUCGGCUCAACUGAGGAACCGCACGGGAAACUGCCGGGCUUGAGUUCGGGAGAGGGAAGCGGAAUUCCGGGUGUAGCGGUGAAAUGCGUAGAUAUCCAGAGGAACACCGGUGGCGAAGGCGGCUUCCUGGACCGACACUGACGCUGAGGCGCGAAAGCUAGGGGAGCAAACGGG
Molecule: ribosomal RNA, 253 nt
Filed under: uncultured bacterium
Lineage: Bacteria
Description: partial 16S ribosomal RNA
Rfam family: Bacterial small subunit ribosomal RNA
Source: RNAcentral